Molecule: long non-coding RNA, 848 nt
Organism: Syngnathoides biaculeatus (alligator pipefish)
Lineage: Eukaryota; Metazoa; Chordata; Actinopteri; Syngnathiformes; Syngnathidae
Exons: 3
Source: RefSeq, a predicted model, not a curated record
AGUUCCGGUUUGCGUUACAAAAAUAAGAGCUUGCUAAAGCCAACUUCCUCCUCACGCUCAUCAUCGGCAGUGGCAACAAGAUGGCCACCAAUUCGCGUGUCGCGUGGACGCCACCUCGAGAUCACGGCAGUUCGCGGACGGAUGUCGUAUGCACACGAUGAAUAAUAAAUGCUGCAGGAUGGACUUUGAAAGAAAAUCGUGAAUUGGUGGGAUUUCUGUGAAUUCAGCGGCUUCUGUUCCGUGCAAAAGGGGGAAUUUUCAUCUGUCGAAUGUGCUCGUGUAAACGGUAACGACAAGCCAGGCGACCCAGCAUUUUUUGGCCUCCAAGCGAUGUAGAGUAAACCAAGCAGAACAACUACUUUUUCUUCCAUUCGAUGGCCGAAGUUACAAUGAGGCUCCGUGUCAACAUACAAAAGAUAAUAGGACUUAGAUGCAACCAACUUCCACGUUCGGCAAAACUGGCUGAAGGAUUUCCUUCCGGUUCUGGUUUGGUGACGGCAAAGUGGGAAAAGCACCUGUAAGAAAUGUUGAAUGGCUGCAGUGUGUUUAGUUUUACACAAGCGGUCUUCAAGAGCUACCCAACUUCAUGAUAUCCAUUGUUUAAGCUUCAUUUGUAUUUAUAAAUGAUAUUAUGUGUGUAUUUAGUUUUUGUCUGACUAUGCCAGAAAUAAAUACAAUUUUAGCAGCUUCAGGUUGAAGCCGUGUCAGCAGCCAGCCGCAGUUAUCCGAGUACACGCAGGAAAUCUGCAAACUUGUCUUCUGGGUUUGCUCAUGUGAUGUUUUGCAAACACUUGAAUAUCUUUGUAUUGAAUUCAUCAAUAAAUGGAGACAAGAUGAUUAUCAUUUCA